GCCUUACGAGGCGCAGCAGGCGCGAAACCUCCGCAAUACACGAAAGUGUGACGGGGUUACCCAAAGUGUUCAAUAGAACUGUGGUAGGUGAGUAAUGUUCCCUACUAGAAAGGAGAGGGCAAGGCUGGUGCCAGCCGCCGCGGUAAAACCAGCUCUUCAAGUGGUCGGGAUAAUUAUUGGGCUUAAAGUGUCCGUAGCCGGUUUAGUAAGUUCCUGGUAUAAUCGGGUAGCUUAACUAUCUAUAUGCUAGGAAUACUACUAUACUAGAGGGCGGGAGAGGUCUGAGGUACUA
This 292-nucleotide ribosomal RNA is filed under the name uncultured archaeon. RNAcentral's name for it is "partial 16S ribosomal RNA". It matches the Rfam family "Archaeal small subunit ribosomal RNA", at positions 320 to 620 of the family's 1478-position model. The record is from RNAcentral.